UCGGACUGCAGCCUGCAACCCGGCUGCACGAAGCUGGAAUCGCUAGUAAUCGCGGAUCAGCAUGCCGCGGUGAAUACGUUCCCGGGUCUUGUACACACCGCCCGUCACACCAUGGGAGCCGGAAAUGCCCGAAGCCUGUGACCCAACCCUUAGGGGAGGGAGCAGCCUAAGGCGGGGCCGGUAACUGGGGUGAAGUCGUAACAAGGUACC
RNAcentral lists this ribosomal RNA (210 nucleotides) under uncultured bacterium. RNAcentral describes it as "partial 16S ribosomal RNA". It matches the Rfam family "Bacterial small subunit ribosomal RNA", at positions 1293 to 1500 of the family's 1533-position model. The record is from RNAcentral.